RNAcentral lists this ribosomal RNA (505 nucleotides) under uncultured bacterium. RNAcentral describes it as "partial 16S ribosomal RNA". It matches the Rfam family "Bacterial small subunit ribosomal RNA", at positions 29 to 507 of the family's 1533-position model. The record is from RNAcentral.
ACGAACGCUGGCGGCGUGCUUAACACAUGCAAGUCGCACGGGCCUUGUCCCCUUUUUUUGGGGGUGGGGUUAGUGGCGAACGGGUGAGUAACACGUGAGUAACCUGCCCCUCACUUCUGGAUAACCGCUUGAAAGGGUGGCUAAUACGGGGUGUUCUGGCCUGCUCGCAUGGGUGGGUUUGGAAAGAUUCGACCGGUUUUGGUUGUGUUGGUGGGGGAUGGGCUCGCGGCCUAUCAGCUUGUUGGUGGGGUGAUGGCCUGCCAAGGCUUUGACGGGUAGCCGGCCUGAGAGGGUGGGCGGUCACACUGGGACUGAGACACGGCCCAGACUCCUACGGGAGGCAGCAGUGGGGAAUAUUGCACAAUGGGCGCAAGCCUGAUGCAGCGACGCCGCGUGAGGGAUGGAGGCCUUCGGGUUGGGAACCUCUUUCGCCAGUGAAGAAGGUCCUGCUCUUUGUGGUGGGGUUGACGGUAGCUGGGUUAAUGAAGCGCCGGCUAACUACGUG